RNAcentral lists this Y RNA (97 nucleotides) under Saimiri boliviensis boliviensis (Bolivian squirrel monkey). RNAcentral's name for it is "Y RNA (ENSSBOG00000005284.1)". It matches the Rfam family "Y RNA". Rfam says of the family: Y RNAs are components of the Ro ribonucleoprotein particle (Ro RNP), in association with Ro60 and La proteins. The Y RNAs and Ro60 and La proteins are well conserved, but the function of the Ro RNP is not known. Lineage: Eukaryota; Metazoa; Chordata; Mammalia; Primates; Cebidae. The record is from Rfam by way of RNAcentral.
GGCUAAUCUAGUGCCGUGGUGUUUACAGCUAGUUGAUCUCAACUACUCACAGGUUUGUUUCUUCUCCACUCCCACUGUUUCACUUGACUAGCCUUAA